AUGGAGCCCGAGGAGGCGGAGGCCGUGCUGGAGACCAUCUGGGACCUCCACGACAAGGUCAGCGACGCCAUACACGCCCUCUCGCGCGCCCAUUUCCUGCGCACCGUGCGCCGCCGCGCCGGGGGCAAGCCCGCGGGCGUCGUCCACAUCAAGGGGGUCCCCGCGGACGGCGACGAGGCGGCCGACCUGAAUGCGGUGGCCGAGGAGGCCAGGAGCCUCCACGCUAUCCGCGCCGCGCUCGAGGACCUCGAGGACCAAUUCGAGUGCUUUCUCGCUGUUUGUUCACAGCAACAAGCAGAACGAGAUAUUGCAUUAGCAAGGCUGCAACAAAGUCACAUCAUGCUUACCAUAAGAUUAAAAGAGCACCAUGGGAAUAAUCACAAAGUCAUAGAUGAGGCGUUGGAUUUCGUCCACAAUGUCUACCAUGAUUUCUGGUCUUUUCUGUCAGUAAACAAGCCUGAGAAAUCAAGAACUCAUUCUGGCGCUAACAGUACCAAGGAGACGGGAGAUGGUUCAGAUUUCUUAGGGUGGAUGGUUUCUUCUAGUCUUGAUGUUGUCAGGAACAGUUUCAAUAUGAAAAAUAUUGGUGGUUUUCUAGGGAACAGUGCAGUGCUUGCUGUUGGCAUGAUUACAAUGUUGCAGCUGCAUUUGUCGUCUUCUGGAGAACAAAGUUCAUCUUGUGGUAAAUACAGCUACAGAAGGAUCAAUCGCGAUGAUUCUUCACGGUCUCUGGCAGGGCGUAGUAGGAUGAGUCAUCUUGAUGUGUUCUUAGCCAAAAGUUGA
Molecule: ribosomal RNA, 783 nt
Filed under: Triticum aestivum (bread wheat)
Lineage: Eukaryota; Viridiplantae; Streptophyta; Magnoliopsida; Poales; Poaceae
Description: partial small subunit ribosomal RNA
Source: RNAcentral